UACGAAGGGGGCUAGCGUUGCUCGGAAUGACUGGGCGUAAAGGGCGCGUAGGCGGCUUGGCAAGUGGAAGGUGAAAUCCCUCGGCUCAACUGAGGAACUGCCUUCCAGACUGCUUUGCUUGAGUCCGGGAGAGGUGAGUGGAAUUCCCAGUGUAGCGGUGAAAUGCGUAGAUAUUGGGAGGAACACCAGUGGCGAAGGCGGCUCACUGGACCGGAACUGACGCUGAGGCGCGAAAGCGUGGGGAGCAAACGGG
This 253-nucleotide ribosomal RNA is filed under the name uncultured bacterium. RNAcentral describes it as "partial 16S ribosomal RNA". It matches the Rfam family "Bacterial small subunit ribosomal RNA", at positions 524 to 776 of the family's 1533-position model. The record is from RNAcentral.